RNAcentral lists this long non-coding RNA (1126 nucleotides) under Piliocolobus tephrosceles (Ugandan red Colobus). RNAcentral describes it as "lncRNA (ENSPTEG00000003576.1)". The record is from RNAcentral. Lineage: Eukaryota; Metazoa; Chordata; Mammalia; Primates; Cercopithecidae.
UUUUUUUUUUUUUUCCUUUGUUUUGUAAAAAUGAUUCUUAAGUAUUUAGACGGGUGGAGGAUUUCCUUCAUCCUAAACCUGACAGUUUUUUUAAUACAGCAAGUUGGAUUAUAUUACAUUUUAUUUAAUUACAACAAAUUUAUUUUACUUUUAUGUAUAUUUGAUGCUUAUAUUUUUGUUCAUUUAUGUUUUAACAAUGUACAAUGGUUUGCGGCAGUUAAGGGGGGUACCUGUUGGCUGUUGUACAUGUAUUCUAUAUCAUUAAAAGUAAUUUUUAUGUGUUUCUUUUCAUUUGAUGAUAAUUCUAUUUAUGAAUAUAGGAAUAUUGAUUAUUAUUAUAAAUGUAUUGUGUUUGUUUUGUUAAGCUUUAGUACAAUUAUAUAUACUACUUUAUCUGUACAGUCGUAUAAACAACUCUACCCAGAUAAUGUAUCCUUAUCUAAUGAAAAUAUUUUUCAUAAUGAUUUAAUGUUACAUAUAGUUAUUGACUUAUUUGAUAUAUUUGAAUUAUUAUUUACUUUUAUAAAGCUUUCUUAUAUUUUAAAAAAAACAAAUUUUUGGAUUAAAACCUUAGUAGGAGUGUUAAUAUCGUCAUCAUUAUAUCUAAAUGCUUAUUCCUUUCCAAUUAUAUCUAUUAUAACAGAAAAAAAUAAGAAAAAAAAAUUAGACUUGGGUGAUAUAUAUUUUUGUAAAAAACAUGCUGCUGUUAUUGGAAUUAUAUUAAUUGAUGUACCAUUUAUGUUAUUACGUUUAUAUUUUUUGACUUUUCAUUUUUCAAAUAUACAAUUACAUCCAUUGCUAAUUAAAAAUAUAUGUUUCAUCCCUAUCAAUUGUAUAAACAUUAAGUAUUGUAACAUGGCUUUCGAUAAAUUAAAAAAAAGUGUUAUAGAUACUGCACAGGAAGAAUACAACGAUAGGUCAGGUUAUUUAUUUAGAAAUGAUAAUAAUGCUAGCUAUAAAAAAAACUACCGACGUAACAUUAACAAGCAUCGAAGCGAUUGUACUAACAAAAAAGAAAGUAAUGAUGUGCAUAAUGCAUUUGCUAUGCAAAAUAAAAACAUGUCUAAUACUGUAAACGUGUUAAAUCAUGCAUCGAAAUUGUUUUUUCAUAACAUGAAAAAUAAUU